Molecule: ribosomal RNA, 300 nt
Filed under: Babesia bigemina
Lineage: Eukaryota; Apicomplexa; Aconoidasida; Piroplasmida; Babesiidae
Description: partial small subunit ribosomal RNA
Rfam family: Eukaryotic small subunit ribosomal RNA
Source: RNAcentral
UUUUAGAUUGACACAGGGAGGUAGUGACAAGAAAUAACAAUACAGGGCUUUCGUCUUGUAAUUGGAAUGAUGGUGAUGUACAACCUCACCAGAGUACCAAUUGGAGGGCAAGUCUGGUGCCAGCAGCCGCGGUAAUUCCAGCUCCAAUAGCGUAUAUUAAACUUGUUGCAGUUAAAAAGCUCGUAGUUGUAUUUCAGCCUCGCGUUUUUUCCCUGGUUUUGGGUCUUUUCGCUGGCUUUUUUUUUACUUUGAGAAAAUUAGAGUGUUUCAAGCAGACUUUUGUCUUGAAUACUUCAGCAU